UAGCUCAGUGGUAGAGCCCUCGCUUCGCAUGCGGGGAGACCUGGGUUCGAUUCCCGG
Transfer RNA from Toxocara canis (dog roundworm), 57 nucleotides. It matches the Rfam family "tRNA", at positions 8 to 63 of the family's 71-position model. From Rfam's summary of the family: Transfer RNA (tRNA) molecules are approximately 80 nucleotides in length. Their secondary structure includes four short double-helical elements and three loops (D, anti-codon, and T loops). NCBI's taxonomy places the organism in Eukaryota, Metazoa, Nematoda, Chromadorea, Rhabditida, Toxocaridae. The record is from Rfam.